UACGGGAGGGGCGAGCGUUCUUCGGAAUGAUUCGGCGUAAAGCGCACGUAGGCUGUUUAGAAAAUCAAAGAGAACAGAACCUCAAAGCUUAACUUUGAAAGUUCUCUAGACUGGAGAAGUCGAGAUUCCUAAACUGGAGUAAGGAAGAGGAGAAUGGAAUUCCUGGCGUAGAGGUAAAAUUUGUUGAUACCAGGAGGAACACCGAAGGCGAAGGCAGUUCUCUGGCCCUUUACUGACGUUGAGGUGCGAAAGCGUGGGGAUCAAAAGGG
RNAcentral lists this ribosomal RNA (269 nucleotides) under uncultured bacterium. RNAcentral's name for it is "partial 16S ribosomal RNA". It matches the Rfam family "Bacterial small subunit ribosomal RNA", at positions 524 to 776 of the family's 1533-position model. The record is from RNAcentral.